RNAcentral lists this transfer RNA (71 nucleotides) under Angaria neglecta. RNAcentral's name for it is "tRNA-Ala". The record is from RNAcentral. Lineage: Eukaryota; Metazoa; Mollusca; Gastropoda; Trochida; Turbinidae.
GGUGUUAUACUUUAAAUUAAAAGAUUUGAUUUGCAUUCAGACAAUGAGGAGUAUAAAGUCUUCUAAUGCCA